This 465-nucleotide ribosomal RNA is filed under the name Vreelandella stevensii. Its description in RNAcentral is "partial 16S ribosomal RNA". It matches the Rfam family "Bacterial small subunit ribosomal RNA", at positions 338 to 795 of the family's 1533-position model. Lineage: Bacteria; Pseudomonadati; Pseudomonadota; Gammaproteobacteria; Oceanospirillales; Halomonadaceae. The record is from RNAcentral.
CCUACGGGAGGCAGCAGUGGGGAAUAUUGGACAAUGGGGGGAACCCUGAUCCAGCCAUGCCGCGUGUGUGAAGAAGGCCCUCGGGUUGUAAAGCACUUUCAGUGAUGAAGAACGCCUGGUGGUUAAUACCCAUCAGGAAAGACAGCACUCACAGAAGAAGCACCGGCUAACUCCGUGCCAGCAGCCGCGGUAAUACGGAGGGUGCGAGCGUUAAUCGGAAUUACUGGGCGUAAAGCGCGCGUAGGUGGCUUGAUAAGCCGGUUGUGAAAGCCCCGGGCUCAACCUGGGAACGGCAUCCGGAACUGUCAAGCUAGAGUGCAGGAGAGGAAGGUAGAAUUCCCGGUGUAGCGGUGAAAUGCGUAGAGAUCGGGAGGAAUACCAGUGGCGAAGGCGGCUUUCUGGACUGACUCUGACACUGAGAUGCGAAAGCGUGGGUAGCAAACAGGAUUAGAUACCCUGGUAGUC